CCAUCAAUACUGAGUCAAAUCAACUCAGAUUUUGAUCACAGAUAGAUCUAUUUUAUAUUGAUAAUCUGUUAAAAUCUUAUUCAAUUUGAUCUGCAGUUGCUUGAGUUAUUCCUGAUUCUCUGUUUGGGAAAACUCUGAUCGAUUUUCGUGUUCCAACGCACCCGUGCCAAGUCCCCCCUGAGUACCUCCCAGCCACACGUGCCUGCCAAGUAACAAAAAGAUACCUCGGCACAAUUGACUAGUGCAUACCCCAUCAAUUCGAAUCCAUCGUCCCUCAAAUCCCUCAUCGAAUCCCUUCGAAUAACCCCUCCAUUGAUAAGAACAUAAGAUAAAAGUGGAAAUUUCAGUGUUUGAAAGAUAGCUUGGUCCCUGCAAGUAGUUUAUAUAUAUAUUUAUAUAUAUAUAAUCUAUUAUAAAGGAAAAAAGUGCAGGUUUAGCCUGUUGAUUCUUCAUUUGCAUACCCAUUUCUUUGGAAACUCAAUAUUCAACUUAUUGGGAGCUAUUCAGUAGGAUAAAGUGUUUCAAUUUGAAUGAAAGGGAAUUCAUUUAGUAUUGAAAGCUUUUGAUUUUUCAGGAAUAUAAUCUUAAACUGAGGUGGGGCCUAGUUUAAGCAGAAACUUUGAGAAGCUUUUUAAUUAAGAAAAAGACAAAGUUUGAAAGAGAUAGAGUGUUUUCUCUGUUUUAGCUCUGAGUUAAUAAAACAGAGAAUUUCUGCCCAAAAAUUCAUAUUUCUUUUAUCUUAUUCAAAGGC
Molecule: small RNA, 751 nt
Filed under: Histoplasma ohiense
Lineage: Eukaryota; Fungi; Ascomycota; Eurotiomycetes; Onygenales; Ajellomycetaceae
Description: hypothetical lncRNA
Source: RNAcentral